GACGAACGCUGGCGGCGUGCCUAAUACAUGCAAGUAGAACGCACAGUUUAUACCGUAGCUUGCUACACCAUAGACUGUGAGUUGCGAACGGGUGAGUAACGCGUAGGUAACCUGCCUGGUAGCGGGGGAUAACUAUUGGAAACGAUAGCUAAUACCGCAUAAUAUUAAUUAUUGCAUGAUAAUUGAUUGAAAGAUGCAACUGCAUCACUACCAGAUGGACCUGCGUUGUAUUAGCUAGUAGGUGAGGUAACGGCUCACCUAGGCGACGAUACAUAGCCGACCUGAGAGGGUGAUCGGCCACACUGGGACUGAGACACGGCCCAGACUCCUACGGGAGGCAGCAGUAGGGAAUCUUCGGCAAUGGACGAAAGUCUGACCGAGCAACGCCGCGUGAGUGAAGAAGGUUUUCGGAUCGUAAAGCUCUGCUGUAAGAGAAGAACGGGUGUGAGAGUGGAAAGUUCACACUGUGACGGUAUCUUACCAGAAAGGGACGGCUAACUACGUG
RNAcentral lists this ribosomal RNA (505 nucleotides) under uncultured bacterium. RNAcentral describes it as "partial 16S ribosomal RNA". It matches the Rfam family "Bacterial small subunit ribosomal RNA", at positions 28 to 507 of the family's 1533-position model. The record is from RNAcentral.